UAUAGUUUGAUCAUGGCUCAGAGCGAACGCUGGCGGCAGGCUUAACACAUGCAAGUCGAGCGGGCGUAGCAAUACGUCAGCGGCAGACGGGUGAGUAACGCGUGGGAACAUACCUUUUGGUUCGGAACAACACAGGGAAACUCGUGCUAAUACCGGAUAAGCCCUUACGGGGAAAGAUUUAUCGCCGAAAGAUUGGCCCGCGUCUGAUUAGCUAGUUGGUGAGGUAAUGGCUCACCAAGGCGACGAUGCAUAGCUGGUCUGAGAGGAUGAUCAGCCACACUGGGACUGAGACACGGCCCAGACUCCUACGGGAGGCAGCAGCCAGGAAUCUUGGGCAAUGGGCGCAAGCCUGACCCAGCAACACCGUGUGGGCGAUGAAGGCCUUCGGGUCGUAAAGCCCUGUUGAUAGGGACG
This 414-nucleotide ribosomal RNA is filed under the name uncultured bacterium. Its description in RNAcentral is "bacterial SSU rRNA". It matches the Rfam family "Bacterial small subunit ribosomal RNA", at positions 1 to 447 of the family's 1533-position model. The record is from RNAcentral.